This 732-nucleotide ribosomal RNA is filed under the name Agaricus bisporus (cultivated mushroom). RNAcentral's name for it is "eukaryotic LSU rRNA". The stretch from base 327 to 480 matches the Rfam family "5.8S ribosomal RNA". Lineage: Eukaryota; Fungi; Basidiomycota; Agaricomycetes; Agaricales; Agaricaceae. The record is from RNAcentral.
CGAAUUUCCGUAGGUGAACCUGCGGAAGGAUCAUUAUUGAAUUAUGUUUUCUAGAUGGGUUGUAGCUGGCUCUUCCGAGUAUGUGCACGCCUGUCUGGACUUCAUUUUCAUCCACCUGUGCACCUUUUGUAGUCUUUUUCAGGUAUUGGAGGAAGUGGUCAGCCUAUCAGCUCUUUGCUGGAUGUAAGGACUUGCAGUGUGAAAACAGUGCUGUCCUUUACCUUGGCCAUGGAAUCUUUUUCCUGUUAGAGUCUAUGUUAUUCAUUAUACUCUUAGAAUGUCAUUGAAUGUCUUUACAUGGGCUAUGCCUAUGAAAAUUAUUAUACAACUUUCAGCAACGGAUCUCUUGGCUCUCGCAUCGAUGAAGAACGCAGCGAAAUGCGAUAAGUAAUGUGAAUUGCAGAAUUCAGUGAAUCAUCGAAUCUUUGAACGCAUCUUGCGCUCCUUGGUAUUCCGAGGAGCAUGCCUGUUUGAGUGUCAUUAUAUUCUCAACUCUCCAAUACUUUGUUGUAAAGGAGAGCUUGGAUUGUGGAGGUUUGCUGGCCCCUUACUUGGGGUCAGCUCCUCUGAAAUGCAUUAGCGGAACCGUCUGCGAUCUGCCACAAGUGUGAUAACUUAUCUACACUGGCGAGGGGAUUGGUUUCUGAUGUUCAGCUUCUAAUCGUCUAAGGACAAUUUCUUGAAUGCCUUGACCUCAAAUCAGGUAGGACUACCCGCUGGAACUUAAGCGGU